AAAGUUAAUAUCCGAUUGACUUUAAAUUUAUACACAGUGUUUAAGGUCAUGAGACGAAGAAGCCUAUUGACUUUUAGCAAUUUCCGAUAAUUACGGCCAGAGUUAUGGCCCUUGUUAACUAUUAUAGCGAGAACUGCAGCUCUUUAUCUAAUCUCCCAUAAUGUAUCUUUAACUAUUAUAGUGAGAACUGCCAGCUCUUUGUCUUAUCUGUCGUAAUAUAUCUUUAAUAAAUCAAUUUAAUUAGAUUAGACCGUGUCAGAAAUAAUCAUCAGUGAUUUUAACAUAUUGAAGGAUACGUUCGUUCGUUCCUUCAUAGAGUUUUACGUUCACUUCCACUUGAACCAUACGAUCAUAGAACCUUUUUUAUACGCCCACAUUGACUUCAGAUUGAUACACAGAGUUUAAGAUCUUGAGACGAACAAGUAUAUUGAUUUUCAAUCAAUUUUGAUAACUUGAACAGCUAAAUCCAUGAUAUUAAAAGUUUCGUAUACUAAACGUUAGCAUGGGGCAGAACUUUACGCAAAUCUAUACACAUAACAAAAUUUCGCAUUCUGUAACAGGGUUAAGACAUCCAUUUAUUCAAAUAAUGUCUGAUCUGUUUUAAUCAUAUUAAUUUUAUUAUUACGAUCUCGCAUUCUACGCCGCUCUGUACUAAUGUGUUAUUGUUUCUUUUAUUGUAACUCUAGUAAUAAAACAUUCUUUUUAAUAAUUA
Molecule: long non-coding RNA, 712 nt
Organism: Patella vulgata (common limpet)
Lineage: Eukaryota; Metazoa; Mollusca; Gastropoda; Patellidae
Exons: 2
Source: RefSeq, a predicted model, not a curated record